RNAcentral lists this ribosomal RNA (388 nucleotides) under Campylaimus sp. 97L22D15. RNAcentral's name for it is "bacterial SSU rRNA". It matches the Rfam family "Eukaryotic small subunit ribosomal RNA", at positions 31 to 425 of the family's 1831-position model. The record is from RNAcentral. Lineage: Eukaryota; Metazoa; Nematoda; Chromadorea; Araeolaimida; Diplopeltidae.
GUCUUGUCUCAAGAUUAAGCCAUGCAUGUCUAUGCACAAGCCGAUUAAUGGUGAAGCCGCGAAUGGCUCAUUACAACAGCUGUAGUUUCCUGGAUGUUCUCAUACUUGGAUAACUUUGUCAACCCAGAGCUAAUACAUGCACAAAAGCUCCAACUUAUGGAGGAGCGCAAUUAUUUGAUCAAGACCAAUCAGGCUUUGCCUGUCUUUGGUGACUCUGAGUAAACUUGUUGAUCGCACAGUCCUGUACUGGCGACAAAUCCUUCAAGUGUCUGCCUUAUCAACUUUUGAUGGUAGUUUAUGUGCCUACCAUGGUUAUAACGGGUAACGGAGAAUAAGGGUUCGACUCCGGAGAGGGAGCCUGAGAAAUGGCUACCACAUCCAAGGAAGG